GAUGAACGCUGGCGGCGUGCCUAAUACAUGCAAGUCGAGCGAACAGACGAGGAGCUUGCUCCUCUGACGUUAGCGGCGGACGGGUGAGUAACACGUGGAUAACCUACCUAUAAGACUGGGAUAACUUCGGGAAACCGGAGCUAAUACCGGAUAAUAUAUUGAACCGCAUGGUUCAAUAGUGAAAGACGGUUUUGCUGUCACUUAUAGAUGGAUCCGCGCCGCAUUAGCUAGUUGGUAAGGUAACGGCUUGCCAAGGCAACGAUGCGUAGCCGACCUGAGAGGGUGAUCGGCCACACUGGAACUGAGACACGGACCAGACUCCUACGGGAGGCAGCAGUAGGGAAUCUUCCGCAAUGGGCGAAAGCCUGACGGAGCAACGCCGCGUGAGUGAUGAAGGUCUUCGGAUCGUAAAACUCUGUUAUUAGGGAAGAACAAAUGUGUAAGUAACUAUGCACGUCUUGACGGUACCUAAUCAGAAAGCCACGGCUAACUACGUG
This 497-nucleotide ribosomal RNA is filed under the name uncultured bacterium. RNAcentral describes it as "partial 16S ribosomal RNA". It matches the Rfam family "Bacterial small subunit ribosomal RNA", at positions 28 to 507 of the family's 1533-position model. The record is from RNAcentral.